Molecule: ribosomal RNA, 256 nt
Filed under: uncultured bacterium
Lineage: Bacteria
Description: partial 16S ribosomal RNA
Rfam family: Bacterial small subunit ribosomal RNA
Source: RNAcentral
GACAGAGGGUGCAAACGUUGCUCGGAAUUACUGGGCGUAAAGGGGCGUGUAGGCGGGAAGGCAAGUCGGGCGUGAAAUCCCCAGGCUCAACCUGGGAACUGCACUCGAAACUGCCUUUCUUGAGUGUCGGAGAGGAAAGCGGAAUUCCUGGUGUAGAGGUGAAAUUCGUAGAUAUCAGGAGGAACACCAGUGGCGAAGGCGGCUUUCUGGACGAUAACUGACGCUGGAGACGCGGAAAGCGUGGGGAGCAAACAGG